UACGUAGGGUGCAAGCGUUAAUCGGAAUUACUGGGCGUAAAGCGUGCGCAGGCGGCUUUGCAAGACAGAUGUGAAAUCCCCGGGCUUAACCUGGGAACUGCAUUUGUGACUGCAUAGCUAGAGUUUGUCAGAGGCGAGUGGAAUUCCUGGUGUAGCGGUGGAAUGCGCAGAUAUCAGGAGGAACACCAACGGCGAAGGCAGCUCGCUGGGACGGUACUGACACUGAGGCGCGAAAGCGUGGGGAGCGAACAGG
RNAcentral lists this ribosomal RNA (253 nucleotides) under uncultured bacterium. RNAcentral describes it as "partial 16S ribosomal RNA". It matches the Rfam family "Bacterial small subunit ribosomal RNA", at positions 524 to 776 of the family's 1533-position model. The record is from RNAcentral.